This is a long non-coding RNA of Macadamia integrifolia, 542 nucleotides long. RefSeq lists it as uncharacterized. The transcript is spliced from 3 exons. The record is from RefSeq and is a predicted model, not a curated record. Lineage: Eukaryota; Viridiplantae; Streptophyta; Magnoliopsida; Proteales; Proteaceae.
GUGGUCUAUCAUUGGUUUUUUGUCCAAUAGAUCUCCGGCGGAACUUGGAUGCGUGCAGUCUUUGUUGCCUCUCCACAGCGCCGUCGCCGUUGCGAAGCUUACAUCAUGUCUGAGCACGAACUCAAGGAGUUGCCGCGCUUUCUCACAGGGCACAUGAAUCUCCCAAUGAUUGAAAGAAAUAAAUUGGGCUUUGACCUGAGCAUCAUCAAAUGGAAUUGAUGGUACGUGAAUCGUUUUGCUUCAGGCUGUUUUAGAAGGUGGGCUCCUGUCAUGCACAUAUGCUUGUUCACAUAACAGCUGAACUGUGGUGUUAUUUUUCCUCGACAUAUUUACCUCUUCAAAUCAAUCUGUUCUUUCAAAUGGGAACCAAAAUUACAUGGAUGCGCUCUCCUUUUUCUUUGGGAGGGGGUGGUGUGGGGCGGAUUUUCAUUGGCUAAUCAUUGUUAUUGCUUAUUAGUAUAGACCACCUAUCUUGCUAUUAUGAGUGCACAAUAAUGUAAUGUAAUUUAUGAAUUUUAAUCAUUGCUCCUCAUUGCAUCUGA